AGACGCAGCCGAGUAUCUUGAGGAGAAGGACUUUAAAGCGUUCAGGGAUUUUAGCUGCCGCUGUGGAGUUCCGCCGCUGUUCUUCCGCUGGAGGGCGCAGUAGUUCCUUAAGAGGGAAUGGUGCGGCGAAUAGCUGUGAGUUCAAAGUCCUGACUACAGAGUUUUGCUCUUGUUGCCCAGGCUGGAGUGCAAUGGCGCGAUCUCGGCUCACCGCAACCUCUGCUUCCCAGGUUCAAGCGAUUCUCCUGCCUCAGCCUCCUGAGUAGCUGGGAUUACAGGCAUGUGCCACCAAGCCCAGACAGAAUCUUGCCCUAUCACCCAGGCUGUAGUGCCGUGGUAUAAUCUUGGCUCGCCGCAACCUCCGCCUCCUGGGUUCAAGCCAUUCUCCUGCUUCAGCCUCCUGAGUAGCUGUGACUACAGGCGUGCACCACCACACCUGGCUAAUUUUUGUAUUUUUAGUAGAGACGGGGUUUCACCAUAUUGGCCAGGCUGGUCUUGAACUCCUGACCUCAAGUGAUUCACCCGCCUGGGCCUUCCAAAGUGCUGGGAUUACAGGCAUGAGCCACUGUGCCCGACCAUAACUCUAACAUUUUAUCAUCAAGAAAUGCUUGCUAUAUGUAUACAUACAUUAGAUUCACAGCCUGCAUAAGAGUUUGUGUGAUUUCUUACUUAGUAAAUACUGAGUGGUAAGGACAAUUCCAAAUUCAUCCCAUGAAAGUUAAUAGGGAAUUCCUAGCAGGUCAUAGGUCAGAUAGAAAAUCUGUCCUUCAUGAAACGCUGAGGACGUGCAAUUCCAAUUAAACCCACUCAAUCUGGAGAAAGAAAUCAAAGGGAGGGGGUGGGCCUGGAAAGAGUACAUCUUAUCUUCAGGUACUGUUUGUUUGAUUUUUUUUAAUACUUGGGGUUUGUUUCUGGGAAGAAUUCUUGACCUGGCAAAAAUUCAUAGUAAUUACUCAGGGGAAAGGAAAAAGAAGAAACAAACAAACAAAAAAUACAUUAAUGUGGUUGGAAAAAAAAUCUAAGAACAUGGUGUUGGUGGGAGAGAAGACUAAAUGUUUGUGGAAGACCCACCCAAGUGCUUUUGAUGUUUGACCAGUUAUUAUCUUAUUGUUCUUCCUGCUAUAGAUACAGCUGCAAUUUAUGUAACAGGAUGUUUAAAAAGAUUAAAGAGAAUCUGUAGUAGGGUUCUGAGAUGAUAAGAGUCCCUAGAAUAUGCAUUUAUGGACGUUUAGAAUAUAAGUUCCUGUACAUUCUUAGAAUAAACCAUCUAUUUGUUUCCUUUUUUAAAAAAGAAACAAACAAAAUUUGUAUUUCAGUAUGGCUGCUUCCUUCCAGCAAGUGAUAUGGAAUAACAGGCAAAGACAGCAAACCAAUAACAGAGCAAAGACAAGUUGGUGCUGGUUCAAACUGUGGCCCAUGCCGGUUCUUAAUUAGCUUUGAGCUUUGAGUCUAAAAUGUUUUAACUCUACAUUAUACACGUGUUUGGAAUUUAUUUGGAUUCAACCUGUUCAUCAGAAAAUGGGUUAUUCUAUGAUACAAGCAGGAUCAUUGUGUGAAAUUUAUGACUGCAAUCACCCAACGUGAAGAUGAAAGUUUAAACAUUUUUUUGCUAGAGGAGUUUUCAAAAAAAAAAAAAAAAAGUGUUCUAUAGAUGUCCCAAACAUACAGAGUGACUUACUGGCGUUUAAGUCUUUCUGCCAUGUGGAGUGCUAUCUUAAGUGAUAAAUUGGCACUGGGCACUUGAUAAAAGGUCAUUGGGCAUAUUCUCCAAGUUUCUGGUGUUAGUCAUGAAUUAAUUGCUUGUUAACUUUAAUUCUCCUAGCAACCUAGGCUAAUACCUACUGCACACUUGCUCUCUCUCUCUCACUGUAUUUCUGUGCAUGUGUAUGUGCAUAAUUUUUUUCUGAACUUGUUUCUGUUUGAUAAUAACUUACAGACAUGAUGCCCCUUUCCAUUAAGCACUUCAGUGGAUAUUUUCUUUUCUUUGUUUUUUUUUUUUUUUUUGAGACAGAGUUUUGCUCUGUCACCCAGGCUGGAGUGCAGUGGCGUGAUCUCAACUCACUGCAACCUCUGCCUCCUGGAUUCCAGCUAUUCUCCUGCCUCAGCCUCCAGGUAGCUGGGACUACAUGCAUAUGCCACCAUGCCCAGCUAAUUUUGUAUUUUUAGUAGAGACAGGGUUUCACCAUGUUGGCCAGGCUGGUCUCAAACUCCUGACCUCGUGAUCUGCCCGCCUCGGCCUCCCAAAGUGCUGGGAUUACAGGAGUGAGCCACCACGCCCCGCCAGUGUAUAUUUUCUAAAAACAAGGAUAUUCUCUUUCAUAACCACAAUUAUAAAAAUUAAGAAAUCAAUAUUGAUUCAAUAAUAUUUUCUAACCUACAGACCUCAUUUGAAUUUGCUCAAAUGUUCCAAUAAUGUCCAUUAUGGUAAAAUAAAUUCUAUAUCAUACAUUG
RNAcentral lists this long non-coding RNA (2451 nucleotides) under Homo sapiens (human). RNAcentral's name for it is "non-protein coding lnc-SLC16A1-2:7". The record is from RNAcentral. Lineage: Eukaryota; Metazoa; Chordata; Mammalia; Primates; Hominidae.